CGGCAAGUGCGGCUGCUAUACAUGCAAGUCGAACGAACUCUGGUAUUGAUUGGUGCUUGCAUCAUGAUUUACAUUUGAGUGAGUGGCGAACUGGUGAGUAACACGUGGGAAACCUGCCCAGAAGCGGGGGAUAACACCUGGAAACAGAUGCUAAUACCGCAUAACAACUUGGACCGCAUGGUCCGAGUUUGAAAGAUGGCUUCGGCUAUCACUUUUGGAUGGUCCCGCGGCGUAUUAGCUAGAUGGUGGGGUAACGGCUCACCAUGGCAAUGAUACGUAGCCGACCUGAGAGGGUAAUCGGCCACAUUGGGACUGAGACACGGCCCAAACUCCUACGGGAGGCAGCAGUAGGGAAUCUUCCACAAUGGACGAAAGUCUGAUGGAGCAACGCCGCGUGAGUGAAGAAGGGUUUCGGCUCGUAAAACUCUGUUGUUAAAGAAUAACAUAUCUGAGAGUAACUGUUCACGUAUUGACGGUAUUCAACCAUAAAGCCACCGACAACUUCGCGCCACCACCCGCGGUAAUACGCAAGUGCCAAGCGUUGCCCGGACUGAUGCUCCUUUUGCUCCCGCCCG
This 575-nucleotide ribosomal RNA is filed under the name Lactiplantibacillus plantarum. RNAcentral's name for it is "bacterial SSU rRNA". It matches the Rfam family "Bacterial small subunit ribosomal RNA", at positions 39 to 536 of the family's 1533-position model. Lineage: Bacteria; Bacillati; Bacillota; Bacilli; Lactobacillales; Lactobacillaceae. The record is from RNAcentral.